Molecule: ribosomal RNA, 253 nt
Filed under: uncultured bacterium
Lineage: Bacteria
Description: partial 16S ribosomal RNA
Rfam family: Bacterial small subunit ribosomal RNA
Source: RNAcentral
UACGUAGGGUGCAAGCGUUGUCCGGAAUUAUUGGGCGUAAAGAGCUUGUAGGCGGUUUGUCGCGUCUGCUGUGAAAUUUCGGGGCUCAACCCCGAACUUGCAGUGGGUACGGGCAGACUAGAGUGUGGUAGGGGAGACUGGAAUUCCUGGUGUAGCGGUGAAAUGCGCAGAUAUCAGGAGGAACACCGAUGGCGAAGGCAGGUCUCUGGGCCACUACUGACGCUCAGGUGCGAAAGCUAGGGGAGCAAACAGG